This 251-nucleotide unclassified non-coding RNA is filed under the name uncultured Mortierella. RNAcentral describes it as "sequence contains ITS2". The record is from RNAcentral. Lineage: Eukaryota; Fungi; Mortierellomycota; Mortierellomycetes; Mortierellales; Mortierellaceae.
AACACCUCAGCCAGAUUCUUUUUCUGGGAUGGACUUGAGCAAACCCAACGUGGCCUCAGGCGGCGGCGGGUUGCUUAAAAUGCAGGUGCAGCUGUGACAAGAACAGACUGAGCUAAAAGCAUAUCUAAUUUAGUCCGCCUGGCGGAUUAUCUCUAUUUGCUGCAGUUCAACCAAAAGUCGUCUUGUCGGGCUGACUGAUGCAGGAUUUGUCAGACUUUCUUUCUCUCUCUGAGAGAAGGGCUUCUUUCAAA